Aegilops tauschii subsp. strangulata is the source of this 2551-nucleotide long non-coding RNA. RefSeq lists it as uncharacterized. The record is from RefSeq and is a predicted model, not a curated record. NCBI's taxonomy places the organism in Eukaryota, Viridiplantae, Streptophyta, Magnoliopsida, Poales, Poaceae.
GUUCAACGAGCAGGAAUAUGGUUCUCUUCGUCCCUUGCCCUUGGUACCAACGUGGUUGCCAACAUAACUGACAGACUAUCCUCCGACAAAGCUUGCUAUCAUAACCGUGUGAAAUGUCAUUGCUCUUUCUACUUUUAACCCACAUGGUGGGCCCAUAACCAGUUCCACAGGAUCGAAACCUGGCUCUCCUGUACAACCUUGAUUCCGAAAUAUCCUUUGCACUUGCCUUCAUAUGUAAUUCACGAGCUAAUUCCCUUACCAUGUUUCAUUCCGGUAUCAGUUGCAACAUUCUUCUUUUUUUCCUUGGACCCCUUUGACAUUCUGAUUAGGCAUCGAACGAUUGCCUAUCCGUUUGAAACUUCUCAUUAUACCUUCUUAUUUUGCUCUCAAUGUUUUUCAUAAGUUAAAUUCGACAGUUACGUUCCACCACCUCCCCUGAGUUAUCUCCCAGAUAAGCACCCUUGUAGAGGUCCGUUCUUCCAAAGCUACCCCUUAUCCUUUUCGUGAGUAUAAUGGAAUCCCGAAGAAAGUAUGACAACUUCAUCAUGAUGACCUGAAGUAGAGAAAUGAAGACAGCAAUGAAAUGGAUUGACCUCUUUGAGAAGAGCAACCAAGACCGAAAAUAACCGUUAGAAUUUCAUAACCAGAACUUUCCCCGCAACUCCACCUCUUAAAUCUCGGGACGAGAUUUCUUGUAGUGGAGGAGAUUUGUAACACCCCUGGUGUCAUGCUACAGUACACUCCUGUUGAUGGUGCCAAGUCAUCACAAUUAUUUUUGCUAAUGAUCACUUUGUUCCAAAUCAAAAUUCAAACUCAUAUUCAAAUUGCAUGUCAAAUUAUUUUUCUUCAAAAAUAAAACAAAAAUGUUGGUUGGGUUGCAGAUAUUCUGUAUGGAGUUAUCAUGUACAAACCAACAUCAUUUGACUCAUAGAUAAAUUCCUAGAAUUUAAUAAAUGGUCCAACAGCUUUAAAACAAGCCAUUUUUUAUUUUGAACAAUUAGUCUAACUUUUCCGAAUGCUCUGAAACUUUUUGCGCAGCCUUAGGAUAACACCGGGUAUUUAUGUGCCAAGUUUCUUCUACAACUAAAAUGAUUUGCUACUAAAAGUAAAUGCCAAAUAAAUAAAUAAAAUAUAAAAAAGGAAAGAAAAAGAAAGAGCUAGGCAGACUGGGCUCUAGUCCACAGUGGACAACCCAACCCACCUCACCUCAUCUCCCUUCUCGCUACAGGAGCAGAGGGUAAUCGUGGCAUCCAUCCGCCGGCGAUGGCCGUGCGUGGCGGCCAUCCACGCCCACCUGGCCGCCUACAAAACCUCCCCCGCGGCCCCCUCAGACGAACCCUAGCCUCUCCUUCCCCCUCCCUCACGCCGCUGCUCUCUCCCCGCACACGGCUGAGCUCCACCGUAGCCGCGCCGUCGUCGUCCUCGCCGCCGGCAUCGUCGUCCUCGCCGCCGACGUCGUCCCGCAGCCCUGCGAACAGAUCCAGGAGGACCGCCACGGCCGACUUCGUCCAACCCGGGCAUCAAAUCGAGCGGAGCCUCCCAUGCGCUCGCCAUCGAGCACAUCUUCGGCGUGUACAUCGCCGUCGUUCGUCGCCGUUUGCUGCCACUCCAGUCCGUCCCCGGCCUCCCCGACCACGUCCUCGGCUCUGUGGCGAGCUUCUCCUCCGGAUUCCCCCUUCCUAUGCCUUGAUUUAGUCAUCGUUUGCCGUCCCCGAGUUCAUCCUAGUUCGCGUGUACAUGUACGUACAUGUGUGCGUGUUGCUCGUGCUGCUCUUGCUACUACCGCUGCCCCGCGCACCCGCGUCGCUGACCACGCCUGCAGCCGCCGCGCCCUUGCCCUGCCCGCUCGCGCUCGCCGCGACCAUGACCGUGCCCCUCUGCCGCCCUGGCAUGUAUUUUUGUGCAAGAGGAACUUGUGAUUUUAUCAAAUGGGUUGAUGGAGAGUGGCCACCAACACUAAGAAAGCACUGACCAAACUAUGUGACAUGUAUGAAAGUGAGAAAGGAGGCAGAGUUAGGGAUAGUCUUGAGCGUGGUGAAGAAAAGUUUCAGUUUUCUUGUGAGAGAAAAGCUACAGAUUGAGCACAGGAAUGUGCAAGCUAAACUUUAACAGGUUGUGCAUGAGAAGCAGGUGCCACUGGCACUAAAGGCAAAGCAGAACAUGCUCUGAUUAAGGUCAAGGCAGAAUUGGAGCGGAAGAAAAUUCUGGAUGGGGCAGCAUCUAUUUUCCGCAAAGUGAUGAGGAUCAAGGUGAAGAGGGAUAGGGAUACGGAUAGGGAUAGACUUAAGGUUGAGAAGAAAAAGCUUUUAUUGAAGACUUUUUUAAAGACAAAGAGGGUACCAGGGUAAAGAUUAGGAAGAUAAAGGACUUUUAUGAUGAGUAGUUAGAGACAAGUUAUGUAAAAAAUUCUUUAACUAGUAGUACUAUGUAAGUUGUUGGAAGUGUAGAACAUUUAGUUGUGUCGUAGAGCUUUAAAGCCCUCUAUCCAGAGUUUUUGCUCACAUUUAUUGAUUGUUAUAUUUGUUAAAUUAUUAUUUAAUUAUCAGUUGAA